AUCCUGAACAUGGGAGAGUGCAUUUCAGUCCGUGUUUUGCUGAUGUUUCUGGCCCUAAUCAGCUAUCUAAUUGCACUGACAUUCAACAUAUUGGCUCUAUUUGGACCCUGGACAGGUGCGUUUAUGCAAACCACACAGUAUGUGCUGAGCAAGUCCACAACGCACCUAACCCCGGAUAGAUGGGUACUCUUUCUAUGGGACGUCCUUAACGUCUGGUUGAUCGGCAUGUUCAUCUAUCUGAUACACAAUCUCCGUAGAAGGGAAGCGUAUACAUGGAUGUACACCACUCCUGCUGUCCUGCCCUACGGAUUCUACUUGUCCUGGAUCGUGAAUAGCAUUUUGAAUAUGGCAUGGUUAUUUCUGUACGACAAAGAAUUCUGUGUUUGUCAUAGAAAGAUGGUGCCAACGCUGCUGAUCACAGCAUUACAGGCCAUCUCCAACUGCGUGAUUAUCAUGUUCUCCUGCUACGGACUGGUCGUCUAUGGAGCGUGGCUCCAUAAAUAUCACAACAAUGAUCUCUGGCUCAUUCGAAUACUGGUGCAAAACGGAGUGGCUUUGUAUGCAACAUGGUGGGCUGUGGCUACCUUUUUACACUUGACCGUUGUUUUAGACCAUCAAACCCCAAUACCCAAGACAGAUGCUGCCAUAAUGGUACUAGUGCUGCUCCAAUUGGGACUCAUAGGAUGGUUUGUCAUAGAGAACUGGUACCUGGAUAAGCACGUGCGCUACAUCCUCACAGUGUACCCUGUGGUGAUCCUGGUGUUGGCCGCGAGUGUGGCCAAUCCAGCCACGCCCGGUACCCACAUAGACAUCAUGUCUGCUGUCAUAUUGGCCAUAACUAGUGUCAUAUUCAUUGUACGCAUUGUCAUGGUGUUAUGGAAGCACAACAACAAACCGUUUUACGGAGAAGAGGAGCUCAUGUCUCCAGUGGACAUCGCCAGAACACAGAAGCUCAUCUUCAUGUAGGAAGAAGAGAGCCGAUGCGGAGAUUCACGUGCCCCCUUGUUUGAAUGUUGUUUUCCUAAACGUUUAAUGGCUGAGACGUGAUCAAACUCUCCCUGUGUUGGAUUCAUAAGGCUUUGCUUCAGAAAGACAUGUAGGUGAUGAUUUAGGCUAGUAGUGCCUUUGUACCGUACAGAUUGAGCUCAUAACCAUUGGCCAAGCUAAUGUCUUUUUCGAAAUCAUAUCAAUGACUGUGUGUGAUAAAACUAUGGACCGGCAUUCUCUCAUGACCGCAAUACUAAUUCAAUGGCAUUAAUGUGAUUGUGUUCUUUUUUUAAAUGUAUUUAGUUAACCUUUAACUUCCACCAUAUUGUUUUUAUACCAGGAUCUGAUCUGCCUUUUGUGUUUUGACGUUUUGUUUUAGGUGCUAUACUGUACAACAAUUUGGACUGCAUUUAUGUAUGAAUGAAGCUAUAGAAAUAAAGUGUAUUAUUAUACUUACCAACGCACUUGUCUGUAAAUGCUAUUGUGAUUUAACAAUAGUAAAUACAACCGUGUGCCACUGUGCAGUAGUAGGAGCACCCAUUGGUUAGACUCCAUGGGGAAAAAUAACCACACACACACAAACACAGUAAACCAUGAUACACUGACUGAAACAGUGCCAUCAUCCAAAGUCCAAUGCACCAGAUCCAAGAUAGUGUGUGUUUAUAAAAGAGUGUUGGUGUGUGAGGCAAGCGUUCUACAGUUGAUCGCUCGACAGGGAGGAUGUACCGCUCCCGUGUGUCUCCGUAUGGCCAGGGCAGUAUGGAGCGACAUCAUCACCAUGUGGUCCUACACGGUGUGUGUAUCGCUCUGGCCAUGUUUAGCCAGGUGGCUUCCGAGACCUUCCAUGUUCUAGCAUCAGGGACCAACUCUGGCGGUGAGUGAAAUCUACCAGACACCUGGUCCAUCUCUGUACUACAGUGCACUACUGUGAGGGCAUCAUGGACUUUGGUUCAGCAGACAAUCUGGAUAAAUGAGUACAGUGGCUAGUGGAUGUAUCCUGAGUGCAAUGCUAUGAUUAGAAUGCCACCGUUUGUAGAGUCAAGAUUGUAGAGUCAAGCGCAUGAUGUGGUCAUUGCGUCCUAGGAACAUGGGAUCAAAUACUAAACUUUUGACUACUUUUUUUAACAUGAAUAUUUAGGCGUGACAAUCAUUUUGACCUCUACCUUUUUUUUGGGGGGGGAAAAAAAUACUACUUAUGAAACAAAAUUUUACACAGUCAUUAUUGCUCAUCUUUAUCAAGGCUGCCAGUAAUUUCGGACUUUGUCACUGUCGGUCGUAAUGAAUGACUAUUUGAGCCAAUAUGACCUGUAAAGGAUAUCUCUUGCAGGGAUGUUCCAAAUGCACAUGCAGUAUGUCACCCAAAGGAUCCCUUUGAGAAGAUAAGUUAGAACAACGUGUCAUACACCAAUGUUUCCACAGUGGAAUGACUUUAUGUAAUGAUGGACCUUUGGCCUGACACACGUUUUAAAUGUCAAUUUACAGCCCAGCACUGAAGAGAGGCCAAUGAUUGUGUUUUUUAACUCCUAAUAUGCGUGUCACCAACCGCAUUACAUAAGCCGAUGAGUUGAUAAACGACACUUUGCAGACACUUCUGAAAAGGAAACUUUGUAAGCUGGAGGUAAUGUUACCACAGAGUUUUCAAACCCAGAGACACAACAUCAUGAUACUUGCGUUAUCGAAGGAGUCUCAACAGACCAGACCGGGGUUUGGGGUUUGGAAAGCCAAUGGGAGAAGGGAAAAUGUGUCCUUAGUUGUUAAUUUUCUCAAAUUCUAAAGAAUUUAGAAUUUUAGAAUCUAAAAAUAAAAAAUAUAUAUUCGAGCCAAUGUCUUAACUAGCUGAACAGGUUAUUACAAGAACCUUGUGAAAGUGAAAAACUGACACGUUUUCAUUUUUGUCAAAAACAACUUUAUAUCGAAGGAGUGCCUCUCAUUUGACGGCCUGCACAUGCGCUGUUCUACGCAACACAAUCUUUAGACUCGGGGGAAGUGUUUCUAUGCAUGGGCUAUUCUUGCUAACACCGCCAUGACAUCACCCAGAAGUGUGAUCAGGGAUUUCUAUCGGAGAAGCAGAUUCUGCACAUCUUCAUACUGUACUGUCUUUGAUGUUACUGCUCAUACUGAUGUAUUCUCCAUCUCACUGUUAUACAGUGUCCAUAUUAGGACUGUGUCAGCAGGACUUGUUUCAGUCUGAGGCUGUCCUGAUAUGGACACCAUUCUCGUGCAUGCUGUGAAUCUAUUUCCUAUGAUGGGAGGCAAACACUAAAGUAUCUCCAUUGCCAAUAGGAUAAGCUGGCUUGUUAUUCACAAUACAGCUUCAUCUUCACAUAGCUUAUACUGGUAUUACAUUGCAACUCUAUACUUACUGUUAUACACAGUAACUGUAUGGUGUCCAUAUUAGGACACCCUCAAUCUUAGCAGGAGGAUGUCCUAAUAUGGACACUGUAGUAUGUGGAUUGUAGAGCUUGCUAGUUUAUAGUCCAAAAAAAACAGAAAUGAGUUACCUCUGGUUCGUUUAGCCAUUCCUAUGGAGGAAAUUAAUGGGGCAAGUAUGGGGUUUUGGGACAAACGCCGAAAAUAAGGCCUGAGGUUAACACAGGUUUAGGAGAUCGUAUAUGUUUUGUUCUAUUAUCAGUCAGUUAACAUGACUUUUAUGAGUUCUGAAGUCUUUAUGUGCUUGUUCUGUUUGUGAAAAUGUAAGAAACAAUCACACAAAAAGAUGUUAGCUGAUGAAGAUUAUCUCAUAGAGCAAAACAUAUAGUGUCUCCUAAGCCGGUGUUUACCAUAGACCUUAUUUUCUGCGUUUAUCUAAAAACUUAACAACAAAAACAUGUUUUCCCUUUAGACUUUGGCCAAUGAGCCAU
RNAcentral lists this long non-coding RNA (3848 nucleotides) under Oncorhynchus mykiss (rainbow trout). RNAcentral's name for it is "lncRNA (ENSOMYG00000049480.1)". Lineage: Eukaryota; Metazoa; Chordata; Actinopteri; Salmoniformes; Salmonidae. The record is from RNAcentral.